RNAcentral lists this ribosomal RNA (253 nucleotides) under uncultured bacterium. RNAcentral's name for it is "partial 16S ribosomal RNA". It matches the Rfam family "Bacterial small subunit ribosomal RNA", at positions 524 to 776 of the family's 1533-position model. The record is from RNAcentral.
UACGUAGGGUGCAAGCGUUGUCCGGAAUUAUUGGGCGUAAAGAGCUCGUAGGCGGUUCGUCGCGUCGGCUGUGAAAACCCGGAGCUCAACUCCGGGCCUGCAGUCGAUACGGGCGGACUUGAGUGUUGCAGGGGAGACUGGAAUUCCUGGUGUAGCGGUGAAAUGCGCAGAUAUCAGGAGGAACACCGGUGGCGAAGGCGGAUCUCUGGGCCGAUACUGACGCUGAGGAGCGAAAGCGUGGGGAGCGAACAGG